UGGUAAUUAGUUUAAAUUAAAACAAAUGAUUUCGACUCAUUAGACUAUAGCUCGCCCUAUAAUUAUCAA
RNAcentral lists this transfer RNA (69 nucleotides) under Leopardus tigrinus (little spotted cat). RNAcentral describes it as "tRNA-Arg". It matches the Rfam family "tRNA". Rfam says of the family: Transfer RNA (tRNA) molecules are approximately 80 nucleotides in length. Their secondary structure includes four short double-helical elements and three loops (D, anti-codon, and T loops). RNAcentral also lists the same sequence under 1 other name. Lineage: Eukaryota; Metazoa; Chordata; Mammalia; Carnivora; Felidae. The record is from RNAcentral.